UACGUAGGGUGCGAGCGUUGUCCGGCAUUAUUGGGCGUAAAGGGCUCGUAGGCGGUUUGUCGCGUCGGGAGUGAAAUCCACUGGCUUAACUGGUGGCUUGCUUUCGAUACGGGCAGACUGGAGGUAUGCAGGGGAGAACGGAAUUCCGCGUGUAGCAGUGAAAUGCGUAGAGAUGCGGAGGAACACCGAUGGCGAAGGCAGCCCCCUGGGCUAACACUGACGCUCAGGCACGAAAGCGUGGGGAGCAAACAGG
RNAcentral lists this ribosomal RNA (253 nucleotides) under uncultured bacterium. RNAcentral describes it as "partial 16S ribosomal RNA". It matches the Rfam family "Bacterial small subunit ribosomal RNA", at positions 524 to 776 of the family's 1533-position model. The record is from RNAcentral.